This is a long non-coding RNA of Felis catus (domestic cat), 2164 nucleotides long. RefSeq lists it as uncharacterized. Lineage: Eukaryota; Metazoa; Chordata; Mammalia; Carnivora; Felidae. The record is from RefSeq and is a predicted model, not a curated record. The transcript has 5 exons.
GUGAGAUCAUGUCCCGAGCUGAAGUUGGACACUUAACCAACUGAGCCACCCAGGUGCCCCUAAUAAUAUUUCUAAUAGCUGUAAAAUUCUUCUAUCGUAUGGCUGAACCAUAAUUUAUUGACCAUUCUCCAAUCAGUGCAGUUAUGGCCCUUUGCAAAUUAUUUUGAAUUACAAAUAGUAUGAUGAUAAAUAUUUCUAGACAUGAAUCUCAGUAAGAAUUGGUGCAUGGGGAAAUAGACAUUGUCUUCACCAUCAGGUGAAGUUUGGGCAAAAAAGUAUAGCGAGUGGCAUGCCUGGGAUCAUCUUCUCAGCCGUGUGUGCCAUUUUCACUCAGGUUCCCUCACAAAUCACAAACCUCAGAUUGGAGUUGCCAAUCUCUGACAGAAGGCAUGAGAUGGUCAAUUUCCAUGUUAUCUCCCCAUGUGGGUGAGAUAAAGAUGUCUGAACCAAAGAGCAUUUCAUAGUUGAGUUCACCAGCCCUGUUCUUAGCCAAAGUGCACUUAAAUCUAAAUAAAAGAAGUGCCCUCCUCUCCCUAGCAAGUUCAAAACACAUAUUCCACUAGGAAAGUGACUUCAAAUUCAAGAAAAAUAAUAUAGAUGACCCAAAUCCCAAACUAAGUAACAGAUUUCUUUUUCUAAUGAAAUCCAUAUACAUGAGUCCCUGCUUGCCCAUACUUGAUAGAACAUUCUUCACGAUGUAUAUUACAGGUCCAGUGACAUUCAGCCAUCUCUGAAGUCAAGCUGCCUUUUUAAUUUUCCCUUUUCGCUGAAACAAAGAAAAACCAAAGCAGAUCCUCCAAUGGCCUGAAGCUUCUGUUCUGAGAUGCCAAAGGGAUCUUUGUGACAUCAUUUUAUGUGCUGCUCUGAGCACUGAGAUAAGGGAAGAUGCAGGGGGUCCUUUCCCACCAAUGUCACCUGCUUCUUCUCUCCUAUGUCCCAACCCAGCUGAGUUCCUGGUCUGAGGAAAGGACAUCCGAUUCCAGGAUGAGGCAGAGAGCUUUGGUAACCUUUCUACUGUAAAAUGUUCUGGUGUCGGUAUUCUGGGUGCGACUACAGACUGCAUCUGUUUCAGGAUCAUUCACGCCACUGUCCUGGAGGCCAAGCCAUGGCCGGACAGGGAUGCCAAUGGUACUUAAGUUCACAAUCAGAAGAAACAUCCAGACCUGAACAUCUAGGCUUUUGAGACACCUGUGGACACGGUCUGUAUUGUUCUUGGAGCCACCAUAUUUCAUUCAUGCCAUGAACCAAAGUGAGCUCAAAAGAAGAUUCUACAACUGAUACGCCAUUUGCAUCUCCUUGGAAAAAUAAACAGGUCGUUGGAUAGGUUCUUUAUGAAAGUUGCACGAAAAGAAAAAGAUUCCAUUGAGCUAAUAGAUACCAGUGGUUCCAUUAGCGAUAGUGAAAGUCCUCCUACACGAUAACCCUCCUCUCGCUUGUCUCUCACACCAGCCACGAAGGUUUUCAAAGAUCAGCCUCUGAAAUAGGAGCACGGCCCCAGGGGAAACGCAGCUUACUCAUCAAGCCUCAGGUAGGAAAGCACCAACAAGUAAUGACUUCCCAGCCGUGGGAUGCUUCUAGAGUCGAUAUAUUUCCAGUCUAAUCGAGACAGCAACCAAAGUGAUCUUUUUCCAUCAAACUUCAUUAUUCAAACCAUUUAUGGGAUAAUUCUCUGAGAGAAGCUGUUUCUUAACACUUCCUUGGUUGAGUAAGCGGCCAGUGGAAAGAUUCUAUAUAUCACUCAAAGGCUCUAAUCAAAGGGAGUCUUGGAGACCUCCACUGUUUACACAAAUCUGGUGACCAGGCAUUUGGAAUUUGUUCAAGUUCCUAUGGGAUCAGUGUGAUCCUUGAUGGUCUACCUAAUAACAUUAAGGCCUUAAACCCUGACCUCGGGCAGUUUUACUCUUCCCUUCUUAAGGUUUUCAUGUUCCAUGUGGACUGUCCUCAAUUGUGGUUGCUACUUUAUCAAUUAAAAGUAUUUCUUUCUGCGGCACCUGGGUGGCUCAGUCUGUUAAGCAUCCCGACUCCUGAUCUCAGCUCAGGUCUUGAUCUCAGGAUUGUGAAUUCAGGCCCCAUCCUGGGCUGCACUCUGGUUGUGGAGGCUACUUAAAAAAAAAAAGAAGAAGAGAAGGACAAGGAGAAGAAGAAUUUCUUCUUACUGCUUGAA